AGUGAACGCUGGCGGUAGGCCUAACACAUGCAAGUCGAACGGCAGCACAGUAAGAGCUUGCUCUUACGGGUGGCGAGUGGCGGACGGGUGAGGAAUACAUCGGAAUCUCCUUUUUCGUGGGGGAUAACGUAGGGAAACUUACGCUAAUACCGCAUACGACCUACGGGUGAAAGCAGGGGAUCUUCGGACCUUGCGCGAUUGAAUGAGCCGAUGUCGGAUUAGCUAGUUGGCGGGGUAAAGGCCCACCAAGGCGACGAUCCGUAGCUGGUCUGAGAGGAUGAUCAGCCACACUGGAACUGAGACACGGUCCAGACUCCUACGGGAGGCAGCAGUGGGGAAUAUUGGACAAUGGGCGCAAGCCUGAUCCAGCCAUACCGCGUGGGUGAAGAAGGCCUUCGGGUUGUAAAGCCCUUUUGUUGGGAAAGAAAAGCAGCAGGUGAAUACCCCGCUGUUCUGACGGUACCCAAAGAAUAAGCACCGGCUAACUUCGUG
RNAcentral lists this ribosomal RNA (492 nucleotides) under uncultured bacterium. Its description in RNAcentral is "partial 16S ribosomal RNA". It matches the Rfam family "Bacterial small subunit ribosomal RNA", at positions 29 to 507 of the family's 1533-position model. The record is from RNAcentral.